RNAcentral lists this long non-coding RNA (205 nucleotides) under Chloebia gouldiae (Gouldian finch). RNAcentral's name for it is "Erythrura gouldiae (Gouldian finch) lncRNA (ENSEGOG00005011631.1)". Lineage: Eukaryota; Metazoa; Chordata; Aves; Passeriformes; Passeridae. The record is from RNAcentral.
GUCUUUUCCUGGCUGUCCUGUGUUGGUGAUAAAUGGAUCACAAUUUCAGGACUUCACACCAUUUCACCAGUCUCCUCUAAUAAUUUCUACUGUUUUUUAUUAGUUGGAGCACACUGUGUGAAUACCAAGUACACGAUCUGUGAUUAGCAGAUUCCCUUGGAAGUCUCCUUCUGUGAGCUCUUAUUUGAUUUAAUCUUGUCUCAGG